This 497-nucleotide ribosomal RNA is filed under the name uncultured bacterium. RNAcentral's name for it is "partial 16S ribosomal RNA". It matches the Rfam family "Bacterial small subunit ribosomal RNA", at positions 28 to 507 of the family's 1533-position model. The record is from RNAcentral.
GAUGAACGCUGGCGGCGUGCCUAAUACAUGCAAGUCGAGCGAACAGACGAGGAGCUUGCUCCUCUGACGUUAGCGGCGGACGGGUGAGUAACACGUGGAUAACCUACCUAUAAGACUGGGAUAACUUCGGGAAACCGGAGCUAAUACCGGAUAAUAUAUUGAACCGCAUGGUUCAAUAGUGAAAGACGGUUUUGCUGUCACUCAUAGAUGGAUCCGCGCCGCAUUAGCUAGUUGGUAAGGUAACGGCUUACCAAGGCAACGAUGCGUAGCCGACCUGAGAGGGUGAUCGGCCACACUGGAACUGAGACACGGACCAGACUCCUACGGGAGGCAGCAGUAGGGAAUCUUCCGCAAUGGGCGAAAGCCUGACGGAGCAACGCCGCGUGAGUGAUGAAGGUCUUCGGAUCGUAAAACUCUGUUAUUAGGGAAGAACAAAUGUGUAAGUAACUAUGCACGUCUUGACGGUACCUAAUCAGAAAGCCACGGCUAACUACGUG